CGCGUAGGCGGUUAAAUAAGUCAGAUGUGAAAGCCCCGGGCUCAACCUGGGAACUGCAUUUGAAACUGUUUAGCUAGAGUGUGGUAGAGGAGAGUGGAAUUUCAGGUGUAGCGGUGAAAUGCGUAGAUAUCUGAAGGAACAUCAGUGGCGAAGGCGGCUCUCUGGACCAACACUGACGCUGGAGGUGCGAAAGCGUGGGUAGCAAACG
Molecule: ribosomal RNA, 208 nt
Filed under: uncultured bacterium
Lineage: Bacteria
Description: partial 16S ribosomal RNA
Rfam family: Bacterial small subunit ribosomal RNA
Source: RNAcentral